GAAAUGCGAUUAGUAAUGUGAAUUGCAGAAUUCAGUGAAUCAUCGAAUCUUUGAACGCACCUUGCGCUCCUUGGUAUUCCGAGGAGCAUGCCUGUUUGAGUGUCAUGGAAUUCUCAACUCUAUUUGCUUUUGUGAAUAGAGCUUGGAUUUGGAGGUUUAUUGCUGGUACUUGUGAUCGGCUCCUCUUGAAUGCAUUAGCUCGAACCUUUGCGGAUCAGCUAUCGGUGUGAUAAUUGUCUACGCCGUUGCAGUGAAGCAUAUCAAUGGGCUCGGCUUCCAAUCGUCCUUUACUGGACAAUGACUUUGACCUUUGACCUCAAAUCAGGUAGGAUUACCCGCUGAACUUAAGC
This 350-nucleotide unclassified non-coding RNA is filed under the name plant metagenome. RNAcentral's name for it is "partial contains 5.8S ribosomal RNA, internal transcribed spacer 2, and large subunit ribosomal RNA". The stretch from base 1 to 105 matches the Rfam family "5.8S ribosomal RNA", at positions 50 to 154 of the family's 154-position model. The record is from RNAcentral.